RNAcentral lists this small RNA (1415 nucleotides) under Pan troglodytes (chimpanzee). Its description in RNAcentral is "retained intron". The record is from RNAcentral. Lineage: Eukaryota; Metazoa; Chordata; Mammalia; Primates; Hominidae.
UAAAAUACUUUACUUGUACUUCCUGAUGAUACAAACAAUCCUGCCCACUUCCUCUGCCAGAUAUUGCACCCACUCGUCAGGAUUUGUGCGUCCUUGACUCUGCCCCACCCAGUGCUCCCAGCAGGGGCAGGUGCAGGAAGCUCACUAGGUGGAGAUGUUGGAAUUGGUUUUUCUUGCAGACAAAGACCUGCGGACCAAGGGCUUCAGCCUAGAGUCGUGCCGCAGCAUGGUGAACCUCAUGGAUCGUGAUGGCAAUGGGAAGCUGGGCCUGGUGGAGUUCAACAUCCUGUGGAACCGCAUCCGGAAUUACCUGGUAGGUUGUCCCCACUCACCUCAGUCAUGCAGGUGCGGGCCGGGCAGGUGGGAAGGGCCGGGUGACUCAGCCUGGCCCUCACCCUCUGCCGCCACCUCAGUCCAUCUUCCGGAAGUUUGACCUGGACAAGUCGGGCAGCAUGAGUGCCUACGAGAUGCGGAUGGCCAUUGAGUCGGCAGGCUUCAAGCUCAACAAGAAGCUGUACGAGCUCAUCAUCACCCGCUACUCGGAGCCCGACCUGGCGGUCGACUUUGACAAUUUCGUUUGCUGCCUGGUGCGGCUAGAGACCAUGUUCCGAUUUUUCAAAACUCUGGACACAGAUCUGGAUGGAGUUGUGACCUUUGACUUGUUUAAGUGGUUGCAGCUGACCAUGUUUGCAUGAGGCAGGGACUCGGUCCCCCUUGCCGUGCUCCCCUCCCUCCUCGUCUGCCAAGCCUCGCCUCCUACCACACCACACCAGGCCACCCCAGCUGCAAGUGCCUUCCUUGGAGCAGAGAGGCAGCCUCGUCCUCCUGUCCCCUCUCCUCCCAGCCACCAUCGUUCAUCUGCUCCGGGCAGAGCUGUGAGGCCCCUGCCUGCGCCAGCCAUGGGCUCGGGAUGGACUCCCUGGGCCCCACCCAUUGCCAAGCCAGGAAGGCAGCUUUCGCUUGUUCCUGCCUCGGGACAGCCCCGGGUUUCCCCAGCAUCCUGAUGUGUCCCCUCUCCCCACUUCAGAGGCCACCCACUCAGCACCACCGGCCUGGCCUUGCCUGCAGACUAUAAACUAUAACCACUAGCUCGACACAGUCUGCAGUCCAGGCAUGUGGAGCCGCCUCCCGGCUUGGGGAGGCCCCGGGGCUGGGAACGCCUGUGCCUUCCUGCGCCGAAGCCAACGCCCCCUCUGUCCUUCCCUGGCCCUGCUGCCGACCAGGAGCUGCCCAGCCUGUGGGCGGUCGGCCUUCCCUCCUGCGCUCCUUUUUUAUAUUAGUGAUUUUAAAGGGGACUCUUCAGGGACUUGUGUACUGGUUAUGGGGGUGCCAGAGGCACUAGGCUUGGGGUGGGGAGGUCCCGUGUUCCAUAUAGAGGAACCCCAAAUAAUAAAAGGCCCCACAUCUGUCUGUGA